AUUGAACGCUGGCGGCAGGCCUAACACAUGCCAGUCGAACGGUAACAGGAAGAAUCUUUCUUCUUUGCUGACGAGUGGCGGACGGGUGAGAAAUGUCCGGGAAACUGCCCGUUGGAGGGGGGGAACUCGUGGAAACGGUUGCUAAUACAGCAUAACGUCGCAAGACCAAAGAGCGGGAGAUCCGCGCAUCUUGCCAUCGGAUGUGCCCAGAUGGGAUUAGCUAGUAGGGGGGGUAACGGCUCACCUAGGCGACGAUCCCUAGCUGGUCUGAGAGGAUGAGCAGCCACACUGGAACUGAGACACGGUCCAGACUCCUACGGGAGGCAGCAGUGGGGAAUAUUGGACAAUGGGCGCAAGCCUGAUGCAGCCAUGCCGCGUGUGUGAAGAAGGCCUUCGGGUUGUAAAGUCCUUUUGUCGGGGAAGAAAGGCGUAAGGUUAAUACCCUGCCUUAUUGACGGUACCCGCAGAAGAAGCACCGGCUAACUUCGUG
RNAcentral lists this ribosomal RNA (490 nucleotides) under uncultured bacterium. Its description in RNAcentral is "partial 16S ribosomal RNA". It matches the Rfam family "Bacterial small subunit ribosomal RNA", at positions 30 to 507 of the family's 1533-position model. The record is from RNAcentral.